GUGGGGAAUAUUGGACAAUGGGCGAAAGCCUGAUCCAGCCAUGCCGCGUGUGUGAAGAAGGUCUUCGGAUUGUAAAGCACUUUAAGUUGGGAGGAAGGGCAGUAAGUUAAUACCUUGCUGUUUUGACGUUACCGACAGAAUAAGCACCGGCUAACUUCGUGCCAGCAGCCGCGGUAAUACGAAGGGUGCAAGCGUUAAUCGGAAUUACUGGGCGUAAAGCGCGCGUAGGUGGUUUUGUAAGUUGGAGGUGAAAUCCCCGGGCUCAACCUGGGAACUGCCUCCAAAACUGCAUGACUAGAGUACGGUAGAGGGUAGUGGAAUUUCCUGUGUAGCGGUGAAAUGCGUAGAUAUAGGAAGGAACACCAGUGACGAAGGCGACUACCUGGACUGAUACUGACACUGAGGUGCGAAAGCGUGGGGAGCAAACAGGAUUAGAAACCCCGGUAGUCC
RNAcentral lists this ribosomal RNA (450 nucleotides) under uncultured bacterium. Its description in RNAcentral is "bacterial SSU rRNA". It matches the Rfam family "Bacterial small subunit ribosomal RNA", at positions 354 to 796 of the family's 1533-position model. The record is from RNAcentral.